This 449-nucleotide ribosomal RNA is filed under the name uncultured bacterium. RNAcentral's name for it is "bacterial SSU rRNA". It matches the Rfam family "Bacterial small subunit ribosomal RNA", at positions 29 to 524 of the family's 1533-position model. The record is from RNAcentral.
AACGAACGCUGGCGGCAUGCCUAACACAUGCAAGUCGAACGAGACCUUCGGGUCUAGUGGCGCACGGGUGCGUAACGCGUGGGAAUCUGCCCUUGGGUUCGGAAUAACAGUUAGAAAUGACUGCUAAUACCGGAUAAUGUCUUCGGACCAAAGAUUUAUCGCCCAGGGAUGAGCCCGCGUAGGAUUAGCUAGUUGGUGAGGUAAAGGCUCACCAAGGCGACGAUCCUUAGCUGGUCUGAGAGGAUGAUCAGCCACACUGGGACUGAGACACGGCCCAGACUCCUACGGGAGGCAGCAGUGGGGAAUAUUGGACAAUGGCGAAAGCCUGAUCCAGCAAUGCCGCGUGAGUGAUGAAGGCCUUAGGGUUGUAAAGCUCUUUUACCCGGGAUGAUAAUAACAGUACCGGGAGAAUAAGCCCCGGCUAACUCCGUGCCAGCAGCCGCGGUAAU